Molecule: ribosomal RNA, 253 nt
Filed under: uncultured bacterium
Lineage: Bacteria
Description: partial 16S ribosomal RNA
Rfam family: Bacterial small subunit ribosomal RNA
Source: RNAcentral
UACGUAGGGUGCGAGCGUUGUCCGGAAUUAUUGGGCGUAAAGAGUUCGUAGGCGGUUUGUCGCGUCGUUCGUGAAAACUUGGGGCUUAACUCCAAGCGUGCGGGCGAUACGGGCAGACUUGAGUACUACAGGGGAGACUGGAAUUCCUGGUGUAGCGGUGAAAUGCGCAGAUAUCAGGAGGAACACCGGUGGCGAAGGCGGGUCUCUGGGUAGUAACUGACGCUGAGGAACGAAAGCGUGGGUAGCGAACAGG